CCGGCACGGGUGAGUAACACGUAUCCAACCUGCCGUCUACUCUUGGACAGCCUUCUGAAGGAAGAUUAAUACAAGAUGGCAUCAUGAGUCCGCAUGUUCACAUGAUUAAAGGUAUUCCGGUAGACGAUGGGGAUGCGUUCCAUUAGAUAGUAGGCGGGGUAACGGCCCACCUAGUCUUCGAUGGAUAGGGGUUCUGAGAGGAAGGUCCCCCACAUUGGAACUAAGACACGGUCCAA
RNAcentral lists this ribosomal RNA (236 nucleotides) under uncultured bacterium. Its description in RNAcentral is "partial 16S ribosomal RNA". It matches the Rfam family "Bacterial small subunit ribosomal RNA", at positions 100 to 334 of the family's 1533-position model. The record is from RNAcentral.